Molecule: long non-coding RNA, 2421 nt
Filed under: Sus scrofa (pig)
Lineage: Eukaryota; Metazoa; Chordata; Mammalia; Artiodactyla; Suidae
Description: lncRNA (ENSSSCG00030052939.1)
Source: RNAcentral
GGGUUUUGUUAAAAAUAGUUUUUUUUAAAAUUUUUCUUUCUGUGUUUUUGCCUAUUUCUGUUCUAAGUUCUUAAAUUUAUGAUUUAGAUGCUUCAUUAAAUAUCUGCAAAUGUUUGUACAAGUAUAUUUAAUCCAGGCUGGCAUGCUGUUCUGUAAUUUUCUUCUGCUUCAUGGUUGUUUUUUUGGGGGAGGUGGGUGGAAAAGAUUUUUCACCAACUGGAUGCUUUGAUAGUAGUUUUGUUUCCUUUUUAGGGAAGAUUUUUGUGUAAGCCAACUGGAUUUCCUAUUUAUACCUGAGUCUGAAAUAACAAUUUAUAUAUAAAGGGGGUGAAGGGUUUGGGAAACAUACAGAAAUACAUUUUGGGGGGAAAAUGGAUUGGCAUAUCUUUGGAUUUUGAUGUGCUCUCUCAUUUCUGCGAGAUUCUCAAAAUCGCCUCGAGCUUUCUUCUUUACUUUAUCCCAAAUCUGCAAAAGAUAACCUACCAGUCCUAUUUGUGUUAUUCUUUUCCAGCAGAGAUCAUGUUUUAGAUUUUUCUCUUUAGAUCCUGCACACCUUUCUGUAGCCAGUGCUCAGGUCUAGCAGGUCUCAGUCCUAUUUCAGAAUUUCUGUAUUUGAUUGGCCUUGAUGUUCUGAAUCUUGCUUUGUCUGAGCUCCCUUAUCCUCCUUCUACCUGGUCUCUUCGAGCACUACCUCAUUUCCACACAGGCUUAUGUGGUGAGAUCAGAGUUUUAUGUCUGCUAGAAUGUGGCCUUCAUUUCUUUCUUUCUAUUUAGUAUGAGGGCUGUAGCACUCUCAGUGUCCAUGUAAAGCCAAAGAAGGCAGUUUCGUGUGGUUUCAUUUGCUCUCCUUGUUGAUUAGUUUGCUUUUUGGAGGAAGGAUUGAGAGAUUUUAGUCUAAGAAGCUGACAUUAUCCAAGGGCAACUUCAAAAUACAUCCUAUUGAUUGAGCAAAUAAUUUUCUGUUGCUUACUUUGAUGUGAUCAUUAUCUACUUAAAAUAACCAUACAUGAAAUUGCCAAAAAAGACAAAAUCUAUAGAGACAGAAAGUAGAUUUGUGGUUGCUAAGAGCCAAGGAGGGCUAGGGGUCUAGGGCAUGAGGAUUUUCUGCUGAUAAAUAUAGAGUAUCCUUUUCUUUUCUAGUAGAAUUUAUUUUUUUAAAGCAGUAUCAGCUACACAGAAAAAUUGAAUGGAAAUUAUAAAUAUUUACUAUACACAUGCACAGCCUGCCCCACUGUCAAGAUCCCCCACUAGACUGGUAGAUUUGUUACAGUAGAUGAACCAAUAUUGACACAUCAUCUCCCAAAGUCCAUGGUUUACACUAGGGUUCUCUCUUACUGUUCUAUAUGCGGGUUUGACAAAUGGAUAAUGACUUGUACCCACCAUUAUAGUACCAGGCAGAAUAGUUUCAUUGCCCUGAAAAUCCCCUGUGCUCUGCCUAUUUGCUUUUCUUAUGGGAUGAGAAAAAUGUUGAAAAUUAGGUUGUGCUGAUGUUUGAACAUCUGUGAAUAUACUAAAAAACAUUCAGUUGUACACUCUAAUGAGUGAACUGUAUAGUAUGUGAGCUAUUCAUUAAUCAAGCUGUUAAAGUUUUUUGUGAAGACUUUUUUCAUUAUUUGAAUAUUUUCAUUGUUCAGAUUUUUGGGGAAGUCUGUCUACAUGGAGUCCAGAAACCUACAAAUUACUAACAUUGGAAUAUUUCUAACCUUUCCUUUCUCCUACCUGGUAAAUGAGUUCUUGCCUUGCUUGCAGUUUUUUUUUCCCUUCACCUCCUCCUCUGAGGGUAACCUGUGAGAAAAAUUCUUCCCCUUUUAUCCCUCAUGCAUAUUUUAAAAAGGAAAGGGAAUGCUAUAAAAAUAAGGCAUGCGUAUCUUAAAGUUGCAAUGGGAUUUUUUUCAGAUAAUUUGACUAAAGGCCCUUGUGUUACUAUAGGAAAUGGAUGGAAAGGGGUUCAUAUUAAGCAUUGUUGUGAUCUAAGCAUCAUUUUCCUAUUACUUGAGAAAUCCAAGUGCACUUUUGCUUAUUUUCAAAUUACAUUUUGAUUGUGAAAACAUAUCCCUAAUGAUUACUGGACAAUUUGAAUCAUGGCUUCAAUUUAUUUAUAAUUUUGGGGGGUAGGCAUAAGGUAAGUUUUGGCUCUCAGCUGAAUCCCAGAACAAAAUCUCUCCAGACUUGAACUAUUUGUUCAUUUUUCCCAUUUUUAUCAGACAGUUGCAACUGGAAUCCUAAAGAAUAGAGGAUUGUAGAGGUAGAGCUGAGAGGUUAUCAGAAUGUCAUCAAACGAAAGAGACAUGGUUAAGGCGAUGCUAAUAUCAAAAGGGAAAAUUGUGGGAACAUUGCUUUUCUGGACUGGAGGUACCAGCGAGAAAAAUAUAUCACACAAUGCUUUGUGAGUCAUACUAAAGUGAGAAAUUAAAAAAAAAA